UAGGGAAUCUUCGGCAAUGGACAAAAGUCUGACCGAGCAACGCCGCGUGAGUGAAGAAGGUUUUCGGAUCGUAAAACUCUGUUGUUAGAGAAGAACAAGGACGUUAGUAACUGAACGUCCCCUGACGGUAUCUAACCAGAAAGCCACGGCUAACUACGUGCCAGCAGCCGCGGUAAUACGUAGGUGGCAAGCGUUGUCCGGAUUUAUUGGGCGUAAAGCGAGCGCAGGCGGUUUCUUAAGUCUGAUGUGAAAGCCCCCGGCUCAACCGGGGAGGGGCAUUGGAAACUGGGAGACUUGAGUGCAGAAGAGGAGAGUGGAAUUCCAUGUGUAGCGGUGAAAUGCGUAGAUAUAUGGAGGAACACCAGUGGCGAAGGCGGCUCUCUGGUCUGUAACUGACGCUGAGGCUCGAAAGCGUGGGGAGCAAACAGG
Molecule: ribosomal RNA, 429 nt
Filed under: Gemmatimonadota bacterium
Lineage: Bacteria; Pseudomonadati; Gemmatimonadota
Description: Gemmatimonadetes bacterium partial 16S ribosomal RNA
Rfam family: Bacterial small subunit ribosomal RNA
Source: RNAcentral